ACGGAGGGUGCGAGCGUUAUUCGGAAUUACUGGGCGUAAAGCGCGUGCAGGCGGUUUGGCAAGUUUGAUGUGAAAGCCCCGGGCUUAACCUGGGAAGUGCAUUGGAAACUGCCGGACUUGAGUACUGGAGAGGAAGGGGGAAUUCCCCGUGUACAUGUGAAAUUCGCAGAGAUCGGGAAGAAUACCAGAUGCGAAGGCGCCCUUCUGUACGGUUACUUACGCUGAUACGCGAAACUGUAUGGAGCAAACAG
This 251-nucleotide ribosomal RNA is filed under the name uncultured prokaryote. RNAcentral describes it as "partial 16S rRNA". It matches the Rfam family "Bacterial small subunit ribosomal RNA", at positions 525 to 775 of the family's 1533-position model. The record is from RNAcentral.